Molecule: long non-coding RNA, 250 nt
Filed under: Trifolium pratense (red clover)
Lineage: Eukaryota; Viridiplantae; Streptophyta; Magnoliopsida; Fabales; Fabaceae
Description: long non-coding RNA (TPRA_LNC008065)
Source: RNAcentral
AUGUCUAAUAUGUUUGUGCAUAAUCCUAACUUCAAUCUUACAAGUUCUGAGCAUCUUGAAAGAUAUUUGAGGCUAUGAGUUACUACAAGCUCUCUUACUGAAGUUGUAAAGAGAUUGGAGUCGUGUUAGGCUUCUAGCAAAAUUCUGGUUUACCUAUGUCCUUCAUGCCAGAGCAAUCAGUAAGGUCAAGCUCUUCAAGCAUCAAGCAACUUAAUCCCCUAAAAUCACUUCCAGCAACCCUAAAAUCAGU